Molecule: ribosomal RNA, 439 nt
Filed under: uncultured bacterium
Lineage: Bacteria
Description: partial 16S ribosomal RNA
Rfam family: Bacterial small subunit ribosomal RNA
Source: RNAcentral
CUACGGGGGGCUCCAGUGAGGAAUAUUGCACAAUGGGGGGAACUCUGAUGCAGCAACGCCGCGUGGAGGAUGACACUUUUCGGAGCGUAAACUCCUUUUAUAUAGGAAGAAGAUGACGGUACUAUAUGAAUAAGCGCCGGCUAACUCCGUGCCAGCAGCCGCGGUAAUACGGAGGGCGCAAGCGUUACUCGGAAUCACUGGGCGUAAAGAGCGUGUAGGCGGAUUAAAAAGUCAGAAGUGAAAUCCUAUAGCUUAACUAUAGAACUGCUUCUGAAACUCUUAAUCUAGAAUAUGGGAGAGGUAGAUGGAAUUUCUGGUGUAGGGGUAACAACCGUAGAGAUCAGAAGGAAUACCGAUUGCGAAGGCGAUCUACUAGAACAUUAUUGACGCUGAGACGCGAAAGCGUGGGGAGCAAACAGGAUUAGAUACCCGCGUAGUC